UUUUUCUGAUCUCAUCAUCAAAAGACCUAACCCUUUCUUUUUCUUCAACAGUACUCUCUCUCUCUCUCUCCCCCUCAAAACCCUACCCAUCUACCGACGACGACUUUCUCAUCAUCUGACGAUCUUCUCCAUCGGCGAUCGAAGAUCUGCUUUUUUUAUUUUUUGCUUCCUUUUCUGAGAAUCUCAAAUUAAAACCCUAACGGUUAGGGCCUACCCCUUUCUUCGACUGAAAGAGGUUUGCUGAUCAUGGUGGUGUUCUGAAAGCAAAGGGAUAGUGAGAUUAGAGUGAGGGUUCUACACACAUAGAGAGAGAAGCUUACAGAGAGUUCGAAAACCAGAGGUUUGUGAUUUUGAUUUUAUAUAUGUGUUUGUGAUUUUAUAUCUAUGUCUGUGUGAUUUCUAUCUGUGUCUGUCUGUGAUUUUAUACCUGUGUUUUCUCUUCUUCUCUCAUCUUCUUCUCUUCUCCUCAUUCUCUUCUCCUGUUCUCUGGUAUGUUUCUCUGGUAUGUCACUCCACACUCUGGUUCGUCACUUGUUCUCUGGUAUUCAUUAGGUAAUGUUUAUUGGUUGAUGAAUUUUGUAAUCAUAUCCAGUAUAUUGGUUGAUACUCCACACAAAUUGUUGAUUACAAACUGGUUGAAACACAAAUGGUUAGGCCAUGCUCUGUUGCAUACUUUGUAAUUUAUAUGGCCAAGCUAUGAAACACAAUACCCAUUUGUUGAAUAUUUUGCUCUAGAUCUAUUAAUGGGCAGUGAUGGUAUGUUAAUGUAUAUGCAUUCCCAUUUACCUCUUAAAUUGAUUUAUGGUAUGUUAAUGACCUGAGCAAUUUGUGUUAUAAACUGAUUUAGAACUGCUUGGGAAAUGAACGCUUUAGGAACUACUUGGGAAAUGAAUGAUUUAGGAUCAUAUUUAUCAAUUUGUGUUACCCAAUUUCUUACUUUUUCAUAUUUAUCAUCUUUUUUAUGUAUUAGUCCUUCAUGUAUUAGCCCUUCUCUCUGCUUUCAAAUCUGAUUUGUAUUACUUUUUCAUGUAUUACUGCUGUAGACCAUGGAUUGAAAUAAACCAUGUUGUAGUCCUUCAUGUAUUUUUUAGUCCUUGCUGCAGUCCUUCAUGUAUCAAUUUGGUGUUAGGGAAAAAUAGCAGGUUUCAUAGAUGUUGAAUUAUGCACAAUAUUUUUCAAGUUUCAUAGAUAUGAAUGAAUAAAUAUUUUGAA
Long non-coding RNA from Camellia sinensis, 1212 nucleotides. RefSeq lists it as uncharacterized. The record is from RefSeq and is a predicted model, not a curated record. Lineage: Eukaryota; Viridiplantae; Streptophyta; Magnoliopsida; Ericales; Theaceae.